CGCGUGGUUUUUAGUCAGAGGAAAGGCCAGGUCAUAACUAAUCUUCUAACUCAGCUUUUAUGCUUUUUUAUAUUACCAAUUGUAUAUUCCACUUGUUUAUUAUAUCUACAGUCGUUGGUGGGAUUCAUGAGUUUCGGGCGGUUGGUGGGAUUCAUGAGUUUCGGGGGAAUGCGUUUUUAAAAUGUGUUAUGGUGACAAGAGUCUCGUGCAGUUUUAUAACACAACAACUUCUAAUUAGCUUAGCGUAACAAUUUUUACAUAUAUCAGUUCUGGCUUCGUCAUUGCGAAAUUGAGUUUGCCAAAGUAUAGCGUGAUCGCCCGAAAUAGCGAUGCGAGUACGUGAACAAAAUAGCUAGCCCGUUCUAGCGGUUAGACUUAAAAGGUCUUGGUUAUUUUUUGAAAUGAGAGGACUUAUUGAUAACCAGAUACAAAAGAAGGCGCUCCCAUAGUAUGUGAGCCAAGAUGGUACACAAACUGAACGUAGUAUAUGUACCAGGUUAAGAGUUGUCAGAUUGUGCGCCAUCUUGGUACAUCCAGUACGGGAGCGCUAAAAUAAAUUCGUUGUGAAAUUUUGAAUUCCACCACCGACCCAAAUAUGUGAUUGAAACUGAGUUAAGAAUUAGAAAGUCUAUUUAGGAUUUGUUAAAAUAUUAUAUUUUUUUUGUUUAUGAAUCAAUUUUGAUACGAUUUGGAUCGGUUAAUUAUUUUUUUUCUAUUUUGGCGCUUUUUGCACCAACAUGUUCACAUGUCAGCAUGUGUAUACUGUAAAUAUCUGAACUUGUCUUUUGUGCUAUUUUGCGUACCUUAGUUAUUUAUGUCCCUCGUUAAUUAUGUUUUGGUUUUCAUUGAACCUCCGCGUAAAAUAUGUGAUAUGACGAACUUAAUAUGACGAACCACGGCCAUUGUCCGGUUACCGGUCCAUAUCGGGUAUGGAAUUAGUUCACCAGUUAUUUGUUUUAUAUGCGUUGAUAUGUUGGUGAAAGAAGAUGUAACCGAUAACGACGAGUAGUCCAGCAAUCACAUAAUUAUCAGGUAAGAGCGUGUUUCUAAUAAAUAUCACGAUGCGUCGACCGUCAGGCCGCCAAGAGAUGAUGCUGAAAAACAAGAAUUCUGCAGCCCGAGUUGAGGUGCGGUAUCGGCGACUUUCAUAUUUCGUACAACAAAUCAGACUAAUGAGCGGCGAGGGUAGAUGAAAAAGUAACUAGUGUUUGUUAUUGUAAAAAGGUGGUCGCGACUGUUAGAGGUAAAAUUUAAUAUUUUACCAUUCUAUUAAAAUUCAAGUACCAACUGUAUGGUGAAUAAUAGUAUUGUACAAAAUUAAUCUAUAAGUUAACUCUCAAUCCAAUCACAGGGCUUUAGAAAGAACGAGAGAUCAAUGUGAAUGAAUAGCCAUAAAGAUAAAAAGCCAGUGAACAAUUUAGACUACCCAAGCACACUAUUCAAAUUUGCUAGUUGCUACAGCUAGCCGUGGCACUAGUCCAAUUUUCAGCCUCAAGAACGGAGAAAAAGUGCAAGGAAACCAGGUAUCUGAUCAUGCAGCUGAUGUAUCGACGGAUCGAGGCGUCGUAUCGUUUAUGCAGAAAUGACGUACGAUAUCGAAACGUACAUGUUAGAAGAACACGAGAUGAUCAGAAGAGCUGCAACAGAGACAAUGUGCAACAUGUGCAUGAGCCCUGAUUUUCAGGAAAUGAUGGCAAAGGUGGGACAAGAUCGCUCAAAAAUUUUAGUUUUACUUCUCGCUGAAGACGAUGAGCAGACAAGACUCGCUGCAGCCGGUGCUCUCGGAAUAAAGAAUGAAGAAUAAAGAAGAAAUCUGCAAGAUUAAAGACCAGCAAUAUUCUUGAAAUCUUGAUCGUACAUUCGAAGUCUGAGGAUGAAAACAAAGAAAUUGAAAGAAAUCGCACUGAAAGCACUGAAACAGCUGGAAAGUUCAUUCAGUCUACAGAAAACGAAAAAAUAAAUGAAAUAUUUUGACGCACCUACGGCACUAAAUUAGAACUCCACAUUGCUAGCAGGGCGUUAGAUUCCGACAAAAUUGACAAUCAAUUUUUGGUUGUAAAAAGUUUUGACUGCUGAAAAAACAAAUUUUUAAAACAAUCAUUUGAGUAUGCUAGCUCAGCCUUCUUUAAUAGACUGUUAGGAACUAAAUUUAAUGCUUAUAAAUUUAUUGUUUAUCGGGAGUUUUGACUUUAAUGGCGCCAAUUUUGGGCUCUUGCAUUGCUAGCAGGGCCUUGGACAAAAUUCACAAUCAAUUCUGGGUUGUAAGAAGUUUUGACUGCUGGAAAAAAAAUCAAAUAUUUAAAAAAAUCAUUUGCAUAUGCUAGCCUAGCCAUCUUUGAUAGUCCGAGGAUCUGAGUGUUUAUCGGAGUUUUGGCUUUUAGGCGAUUUGGGAGUUACUACUUUGCUAGCAAUUUCCAGACUCUAGGAACUAGAAUUAAAACUUUAUAAGUGUUUGUGUGCAAAUUUGACUUUUUUUUAUUACCAUUGAAGAUAUCAAAUUAUUCUCAAAUAAAUUUCUUCUUAUAAAAAGUUGCUUAUCAUAUCAAAUCUCAUCAGAUGUUGGUCUAUUAACAGUGCAUGUAAUUUAAAAAUCAUAUGUCGUGUUUCUCUAAACUUCUAAAAGUUCAAAUAUUUUAUUUUUCAAAUGAAAUUCAUAUUUGUUAAGAAAAUUAUUAUUUAUGUCAAACGAUUUAAUUCUUUGAGCAGUUACUAUCUGUUAUCAUUGUUUUUCUCGGUUUAUAUGUUGAGUCUUCAUUCUUUUCCUUGUUAAAUUUAUUUUAAAUCUUGCAUGCACUCAUUCAGUAGUAGGUUCAUCUCUCAACAAAGUUCGGACUCAUGUGGGGCUUGAUAGCUCCUUUCCUUUUAAAAUGUAAAAAAAAACAUUAGUUUUUUGUAGUUUGAAACGCUCAUACCCUCAGACUCUUCCGAAAUUACACUUAGGCGGCUUAUUUCGGCAGGAGAUCUAUCGAGGAAAAUAAAAAUUUCAGACUCCCCCCUCACUCUCUGAGAAUUCCCGGCUAUGUCCUGGCUAUGUGUACGCCCUGGUGCAGUCAAAGAUAAAAUGAUGCCUCCAACUCGCAUUCCAUGGUAAUGGAAGUUCUCCGGUUUUAAGAAAUCAAAUUUUGAUAACUAAAGCUUUUGCGUAUGAUGUCAUUCUCAGCUCCCUUCGAGAGAAACAUGGAAAACUUCAUAGCACUGUUAAGAGCCCCACAACCCCGCUACCUAUUCAUCCCAAUUUUUUCUUCACGCUAGAGUGCCUAUAAUUCUUGUGCAACCGUUUUUUACAUCGUGAUUGAAUUAUUUUGAAUGAUUUUUGUCAGUUUGUUCGUUUUUCACAAUUAUUUGUAUAAAAGUUGCAUUCGAGUAUUAAAUUAUGCUAU
Styela clava is the source of this 3380-nucleotide non-coding RNA. The record is from RefSeq and is a predicted model, not a curated record. NCBI's taxonomy places the organism in Eukaryota, Metazoa, Chordata, Ascidiacea, Stolidobranchia, Styelidae.